Peromyscus maniculatus bairdii (prairie deer mouse) is the source of this 735-nucleotide long non-coding RNA. RefSeq lists it as uncharacterized. NCBI's taxonomy places the organism in Eukaryota, Metazoa, Chordata, Mammalia, Rodentia, Cricetidae. The record is from RefSeq and is a predicted model, not a curated record.
GAAGGGCAGCCUCGUGUUAUAACAGCCUACUCUUGUGGUAACUAACGCAGUCCCGGUGGGUGACAGCUCUUCUGUGACUGCAGUGAUAGGCUCCUGAGAACUCCAUUUCUUCAGCUGAACUAGGUCCUCCUCUCAACAUGGCAGAAUUAUUUAGGAUCAUGCCUCCACAUGAGUUCAGGUGGAAACAAAGUGAAUUCAAAUCACAAAGAACACAAUCCCAGGAGGAAGAGGAAUUACCUGAGGCUUCAUCAGUGCACAGGUCAUGGAGCUGCCUAGAAUAAUCUAUUCCUGCUUAGUUGCCUCUUCCUAUCAAAGGCAGUGGCAGCACUCCCUCCCACAACUAACCAGGUCCAGAACCAGGGUUAUGAGUUGGGCUACCUCAAUAUCCACCCCAACUGUGACCUGUUGGAGCAUAUGAAGGGACCAGUACUGCAGACGCAAAGCUACAGGAUUUCUGCAACACAAGGCAACAGCAGGACAUCCAAGAAGAGUCCCAGUGAGGGCCCAGCAUCCAUAGUUUAGCAGAAACCAGAGACCUCGAACCAGACCAACAAAACAACUUUUUGCAAUGAGCACUUACAAGUAAAAAUAUAUGGAUAAAAGGGUUUACUGUGUUACUCACUGUGUCCAUGUUACACUACAGCUUCCAUGACAAGACUGAUUUUUCCUUCUCUCUCUUUUUCUUUUCUUUCUCAUAAAUUUUAUUUUAUUAUAUUUUGUGAGGGGUGAGGUUGC